This is a long non-coding RNA of Sinocyclocheilus rhinocerous, 294 nucleotides long. RefSeq lists it as uncharacterized. The record is from RefSeq and is a predicted model, not a curated record. Lineage: Eukaryota; Metazoa; Chordata; Actinopteri; Cypriniformes; Cyprinidae. The transcript is spliced from 3 exons.
CUGGGAGAAUCUGUCCAGUGUCUUUAUCAAAAAGAUCGCCGGUUUUGUGAAUGCAAAGGUUCUAGACACGUCUAUCCAGCAGGUGUCGCUGGCUAUUCUGGAGAGCAUGGUGCUCAGCAGCAGUAGUCUGUUUAAUGAGGUCAAACAAGAAAUCACCCUGGAGAGACUCAUUUCCCAUCUGCAGGUAACAAACCAGCAGCUGCAGACUAAGGCCAUGGCUCUGCUGAUGGCGAUGCUGCAGGCUGGUGGCGAGGCAGACAGACAGGUGAGAGGUUGAGAGGUUUUUGUUUCGUC